This is an RNA transcript of Prosopis cineraria, 5679 nucleotides long. It is a transcript of the gene named probable LRR receptor-like serine/threonine-protein kinase At1g56140, with no coding region annotated. The transcript is spliced from 5 exons. The record is from RefSeq and is a predicted model, not a curated record. Lineage: Eukaryota; Viridiplantae; Streptophyta; Magnoliopsida; Fabales; Fabaceae.
CCCCACCCCAUCAGCCCCCACCACUGUCUUCCCUCUAUCCACGAUCGCUGAUCACUGGCCACCGUCUCUGGCCACCUGCGUCAACCUCUAGCCACCGUAAUCACUACCUGACGUCUGCUCAAGCUCCGUCGUUCACUAUUUUCCAGUUUUAUUUCCUUUUAGCGUGCUUGCGUCGUUCUUUCCAUUCGCUUUUCAGUCUCUUGCAUCUCGUCUACCAUUUUCCGGCCACUGUGGUUGCUCAUCUUACCAUUGUCUUGUGCUCGUCUUAUCCCUCGUUCGAUUUUCAGCUUAACGCCGUGCUGCCGUUCAUCCAUUUCUGCCACACCAUUGACGGCGACACUCCUCAGUUACUGUUUUCACCAACUAUCGCCACCAGCCCCUUCAUAUCUUCACUUCCAGGAAUGCCACCUAAGGAAUCCACUUCUAAAAGGAAGACAAAGGACAUUCAAGUCCCUUCCGAUUCACCAGAACUUCCAACUGAACCAGCCUUAAAAAGAAGAGGAAAUUUGAUUUUUCCAAGUUCAUAGAUCGAGUUACGAGUGACAGAUUUGACACAAGCAUAGCUUCCAAAGACUUCCAUGAGGAUAGGUUCUUUGAAAUCCCUUGAGAUAAGGCUAUCUUGAAGAAUUUAGAGCAGCAAAAAUGGACUCAGUUUCUCCACCAAUUAGAUCCUUAUAUACCUAUCUUGGUUAGAGAGUUUUAUGCCAAUGCUGCUUCUUGUAAGGAGGGUCACUAUUGGGUCUGACAUCACAAAGUAGUUGUGAAUCCUGCAGUUAUCCGUGCUCAUUAUAAGUUACCUCCAGUGAAUGAUUGUCAUUUUAAAAAGUGUAAAAAGGAGGGCAUUAUACCUAAUUGGGAGAUCAUCAUCCCUGUUCUUGAAAAGAAAACAGCUACUGCUAUUGGUUCUAAAUUGGUUAGGGAUGACUUGUGUCAGCAAGCAUUAUUCUGGCUUCACUUUGUCUCCCAUAAUGUCUUGCCUAGCUCCCAUGUUUUUGCGGUCACUAGGGAUCGGGCCUUUUUGAUCUAUUGCAUUUUGCAAGAUUUACCUAUUGAUUUGUCUGUGUUGAUGUUCUUUCCGAUCAAGAAAUGCAUUACUAAGCUAUCCGGACAACGAGCUUCAAUGAUUUUCCCUCAUUUACUCACCGCUCUUAUGUUGAAGUCUAAGGUGACAGUUGACACAUCUGAUGACCGCCCUCAACCAUUGUCUGCUCUCAAGUAUACUUCUUUCAAUGCUGGUUCAGAUGAUGAGGGAGCGGCCCAGGCCCAACCAAAUGAGGAGCAACUUGCUCCUGUGACUGAGAUAGCACCAGUGGACCCUGUGUUUCUUCUUGCUUCCUUUUGGACUUUUGUUCAUGAUCGCCUUGAUCUCCUUCUAGCACAGCAGGUUCUAUUCAACAAGCGGCAGGAUAUGAUGUGGCGUGCCGUACAAAUGAUGCCUGGUUUUGUUAUGCCUAGUACGAAGGAUCCCUCUCUCUCUUGUUUAGUUGUUAUUUAAUCAUUGGGGCAAUGUUUAAUUUAAGUGUGGGGGAGGGAGCACUUACUUUCUUAAUUGUUACCUUGCUAGUCUUUGAGUUAUUUUGUUAGGAAUUAGUUGUCCAUAUUUGUGAGUAGCUUAAAUAGCUUUAAAAAAAAUUGAAAAUUUUGAAAAUCUUACAAAUAUAUUAUUUAGGUCAACUUUUUUUUUUUCUUUUUUGUGAAUGUUGCUAAGGUUAAAUUGAUUCUAACUUUAAAGGAUUAAGUUUGAUUAGGAGUUGGUCCCUUCUUCUUAGAAUUUUAGUAAAUAGGCAACGAAUUAAGCUUAGAUAAUUGAAUGUAGGUUGUCCAAAAAGCUUAUGAGAAGCUUGAGCAUAAAUUUAAUAUUCUCUUAAGAGGGAGUACAUUUAUUGUGAUUUUAUCUCUAGAACUUCUUUUGAAUCUUUGUUGAGACUUGCAAUAGCCAUUUGCAUACACAAAAAUAAUUUAGGCGUUCAUUUUCUUAGUUAGUCUGGCCAAAUAUCCAUCCUGUUUCAUAAUUAACUUUUGUUUCACUCGUUUGAGCCACUUGCUAAGAAUUAUCCACUUUUCAUCCAUAAGCCUUUUUGCUAAGAAUUAUCCACUUUUCAUCCAUAUCUUUUAUUCCCGUUUACUACUUUGGUAAGUGCUAAGUAGUACAUUUAUAAAGGAAAUUGAAGGAAUUAGAAUUGAGGUGGGGAUUCAAAAGUGAUAGAAAGAAAAGAGGAAAGUGAAAUUUACAAAAACAAAGAAGAAAAGAAAAGAAAGUUAGAAAGUGCAAAAAAAAAAAUAUAUAUAUAUAUAUAGUGAAUAAAAAAAAUGUCAAAUGAAAAAAAAAAUCUGUUGAUCCUCAUUGGUGCCUUUUGUAAAUAGUUGCAGUUUGUCCUUCAAUUUUCUUAUUUCUCACUUAAGAUGCUUAGUACUAACUAGAGUAUGUAAUUUUGAUCCAUUGAAUAAUUUCAUUUCAUCAUCAUAUUUGAAAUAUUACAACCUUUGAAAAGUCCUUUUAAUUUGUGUGUGCAUAGGCAUAGUUAAGCAGAGAUUAAGAUGACAAACAAGCAUAUGGUAGAUGGGUUGCAAUACGUGGAAAUGAGAGAAACACUAACAUUUGAACACCUUGAGCGUAGAGUGCAAACACUUGACCGAUGAGGGACAACUUGUUAAAAAUUAUCUUUGUUUAAUUAAUUGCUUUGUUACUUGCAUUCUUGGAAGGUUGGAAAAGUUUCUAAUUAAAUUGAAUCCUUGAAAGUUGGAAUUGCUUUUGACCUUAAUACAUUCACAUAAUUUGUUGUCAUUUUUGUACAGUGAUUUUCUUUUGCUUGAGGACAAGCAAGACUUCAAGUAUGGGGGUUUGAUGACUAUUUUCAUGUGUUUUUAGGAAAUUUUAGGUUCAAUUUGGAGUCAUCUAAAUAAAUUUGAGAGAAAAUGAGACUAUUAUUUGAGAAAAUGAAAGAAAAGUUCUUUUGAAUAUGAGGAGGGAGAAUUGGUAAUAUCUUGUUGACAUGAAUGGAUUACUUGAGCUAAACUUUCAUUAAUGAUUUUAUAUUGUGUGUAAGGUAAUCCAAAUUAAGACUUAAAGGGCUAUAUGUAAAUAAAGAUUGACGAUAAAGAAAAAGCAUGAUUUAUGUUACAGCCUAAUUAAGUAAUUGUGGGAAUUAUGUUGCAACAUAGCCUGAUUAUGCCGCAACAGUAUCGUCAGUUACCGAAACGCAUAGCUUUGCAAAAAAAUUGAUAUUUUUAGGUUUCUGAACAUUGUUGCUUGUCAUUCUUUGUCUUUCUUCAUCUCCAACAGCUCCAAAUUGACCAGGGAAGAGGGAGAAACACCAUGGAUGAGGUGGAGAAGCUUGGGUUUCAUAGGAGAUUAGUGAUUUUUGUCCAAAAUCACUCCGAUUAAGCUUUCUUCUCCUUCACUUCUUCGUUUUGAUGUAUUUUCUUUUCAGUUUUGCUAUUUCCAGAAUAAUGUGUGGCUAAAUCUCUUAGACUUAGAGGAACUAUGAACCUAUUGAUGGAUUAGACUCGUAUUUACUCAUUAGUUAUGCUUAUUGUUGAUUUUGGUUGCUUAAUCUUAUGCUUUAAUGUCUAUUUAAUGUUUGGCCAACAUUAAAUGUGAUUUUGGGUGUUGGGAUUUUUCCUUUGAGAAAGGAGAAUUUCUUCUAGACCAUAGGAUUAAGUAAUAUGGGAUUAGAUUUUAUCUAAUUUGUUGUUCCUAAAGGUCAGAUUGGAAUUGGGAGGUCUAUUCGUGCAAAGAAAUUGACUCCUAGGUUUAUUGGGCCAUUUGAAAUUCUGAGAGAAUUGGGCUUUUGGCAUACUGGAUUACUUCAUCUCUUCAUCUGUCAGGAACUGAGAACAGGACACAUUCUUCUUAGAGGAAAAUGGUGUGAUGGCUUAUACAAAAUUGAUGGUGUUCCACAAGUUUAUGAUUCUACCUCCAAUGAACACCCGGUAGCUUUACUUGCUGCUUUGGAUACUUGGCAUAGAUGUUUAGGCCAUACAUCGUGUAAAGUUGUUAAAGAUGUCGUACAAAUUUAUAAUAUCUCUUUUGACAAUAAAGAAAAUUUUGACUUCUUAAUGCUUGCAAUAUGGUAAAAUGCCCAAGUUUCCUUUUCAAUCUUUUGAUUCUAAAACUAAAGCACCACUUGAAUUAAUAUAUAUUGACUUAUGGGGGCAGCUCCUGUCACUUCAAAAUCUAAUUUUAAGUAUUAUAUAAGUUUUGUUGAUGAUUUUAGUUGUUUUAUGUGGUUCUAUCCACUUCAUUAAAAGAGAGAGGCUCUUUUAGCUUUUCUGCAAUUUCAAAAACUUAGCUUGUAGAAAAUUAGUUUGAUAAAAGGAUUAAUGCCCUUCAAAGUGACUAGGGAGGAGAAGAUUUUAAACAGCAUUGGUAGAGUUUGGUGUUUUAUUUCAUCAUCCUUGCCCUUAUACGUCAUAACAAAAUGGACAUGUGGAAAGAAAACAUCGUCACAUAGUUGAAAUGGGAUCAAGCAUGUUAGCUCAGGCCUUAAUGCCUUUACACUUUUUAUGGGAAGCAUUUAUGAAUGCUAUUUAUGUGAUUAACAGGAUACCUACUCCAAUAUUAGGAUACCUACUCCAAUAUUGGAUCAGAAAUCUCCAUUUGAAGUUUUGUUUGGUUCUAAACCAAAUUAUGGUGGUUUGAAGAUUUUCGAUUGUACUUGCUUUCCAAGUUUGAGGCCAUAUAAUAAACAUAAAUUAGAGUUUUGUUCAGAGAGAUAUAUUUAUUUGGGUCCUGGUCCUUCAGAUAAGGGAUAUAAAUGUUUAUGUCUAUUUAGUUGUGUUUUUAUCUCGCACCAUGUCAUUUUUUAAUGAAAAUGAUUUUCUGUAUGCAAGCUUAAUAACAUAAUCCUCUUCUUCUAAAAAACUAGACACUAGUUUUUCAUUACGAGCGUGGCUUCCACACCUCUGUCCUGACCAUGCAGAAAUAUAGUCUUUAUAGACUGCUUCAUGCAACGAAGAAAGAUUGCAUUGUGUCACUUAUUUCAACAGUGUUGUUUCAUGAUGUUGAAGCUACUCUCUCUCAGACUAAUAAAGAUAUCUUGCUCCGGGGUAUGCCAUGCGUGGUCACCUUACAAAGAAAGCAGAUGUCUUUUCCUUUAGUGUUUUGGCCCUGGAGAUAGUUAGUGGGAGGCCAAAUUUUGAUUCAAGCCUGGAAGGGGAGAAAGUGUUUCUUCUAGAAUGGGCUUGGCAACUGCAUGAAAGCAACUCUAUACUUAGACUGGUAGAUCCUAGACCAUCAACAGGUACAAGUUUCAACGAGAAAGAAGUUAAAAGGCUUGUAGGGAUAUCUCUUCUGUGCACUCAAUCAUCACCAUUGUUAAGACCACCCAUGUCCCGUGUCGUGGCAAUGCUUUCUGGAGAUAUGGAAGUAAGCACUGUAACUUCAAAGCUCGGAUACUUGAUUGACUGGAAAUUUGAUGAUUUGGGCAGCUUCAUGACUGGCUUGGCCACAAAAGGAUCAGGUACAAGUCAAUAUAAAUCAUCCACGAGUACCAGCACAAUCAGUACUACAAACCAAGCACCUGAAGUUGCAAACCAAGCUCAUCCUACAUCACAUUCUUAGUGAAGGUAGGUGAGAGUUGAUGAUUAGUAAUGCAUGUUUUCUUUUCGGUUCCCCAAUUCUAUGUAUAAUAUCCGCAAGAGAAUGAGAUUGUGCUUAUAAAAUUUGUUGUUUAUUCA